RNAcentral lists this unclassified non-coding RNA (724 nucleotides) under Zea mays. RNAcentral's name for it is "misc RNA Zm00001eb428820". The record is from RNAcentral. Lineage: Eukaryota; Viridiplantae; Streptophyta; Magnoliopsida; Poales; Poaceae.
UGGUACGCAUAGAUCUACACGAAGGAUAGAAAGAAAGAACAGAACCCAAGACCAAGAGUCGGAAGUAAGCAUGAGAGAUCAUGGCCUGCAGGUCUCAUCAAAUAAAGCGCAGCACGCACCAAGAACAAGGCGCAGAGACGAAGAUGAACGCCAACAGGGAUCGAGAAGAACAAAGGCCAGAUUCUCACAGAUGCAUGUGUUUAAUUGCGGUGCAGAAUUGAUCUUUGAUUUGCGAGACAAAUUUACCUGCUGCCAGUGGGCUGCUGCAUCCAUGCAAGAACUCCAGUUCCUUUGCUACCCCCACAAUUCCCGAGGGGGGGGGGAGUUGGAGAGAAGGGAUGAUGGUGGAGAAGAUGCGCCUCCGCUAGAUGGAUUUCUUGAGCACCGAGGAGGAAGAGAGAGAGAGAGAGAAUGCCUCCUCCUCCGCUCCGUCUCCUCUCCGCGCACCCCUCCUCUCUCUCUUGUCCAAUUAAUAGCCAAUCUAGCAGUGGGGGAUUCUUUCUUAAAAAAAUAAUUUAUGCUAGCUCCUCUCAUCUGCUCGCUUCGUCAGUGAUGGGAAAAGAAUUUGGAGCGCUGUGUUGGGCGGCCUGCGAUCGCUGCCAAUUUUUCUAGUUGUGCUGUUGAUAAGUAGGCAGCUGCCGGGAGGGAGCAUGCGUUCUAACUCUCGUGAGGUGAGGAGGUCCACAGCAGUCAACAGGCGAGGGAUUCCACACCGGAACGCGGA